This 2717-nucleotide long non-coding RNA is filed under the name Brassica napus (rape). Its description in RNAcentral is "long non-coding RNA (BNAP_LNC002628)". The record is from RNAcentral. Lineage: Eukaryota; Viridiplantae; Streptophyta; Magnoliopsida; Brassicales; Brassicaceae.
UCAAUCAUUCAAGGGAAUAAAACAGCAUAAGAGAAACCAGAGCAAAAGAAAAAAGAUCUAGUAAUGAUGUCUUCUGAUUACUCACCUUCUUCAUCUCACCAAGAACAUUUCAUCAACAGCUUCCUCUCAAGAAAAUUGCUUCAGCAACUUCCUUUUCAUCACAACAUACAGCAACAACAACAAGCUCAAGGACAAGACAAGAGCAACUUGAGCGGCAACAUUCUCCUGCUUCUCUCUAUCCUUGUCUGCGGUAUCAUCUGCUCACUAGGGUUGCAUUACAUAAUCCGUUGCGCCUUUAGACGUUCCUCGAGUUUCCUGAUCUCUGAUCCCAUCUCAAUCCCGUCCACACCACGAGGCUCAGCAGCAGCAAACAAAGGCAUCAAGAAGAAAGUUCUCAAGAUGUUCCCGGUAUUGACUUACUCACCUGAGAUGAACUUGUCAGGGGUCGGCGAAGAGUGUGUUAUUUGCUUGUCUGAUUUUGUAGCUGGAGAACAGAUACGGCUACUUCCUAAGUGCAACCAUGGGUUCCACGUUCGUUGUAUCGACAAGUGGCUUACGCAACAGAUGACUUGUCCGAAAUGUAGACACUGUCUGGUUGAUACAUGUCAAAAGAUCUUAGGAGACUGUGACGAAGCUGAUGAAGUUGCAGAAACAACAACGGAGAGUAUAGAUGUUAUAAUUGCUCCUACAGAACCUGAAGAAAGAGUCAACAGCUAGAGAGUAUGUGCCAAUAAACAACUAGAUUUUCAAGAUUUUAGUUCUUCCACAUAUGGUUAUGCAACUUAGUCUACGUGACAUGCAAAAUAUUUCCCUUGAUGCACCAAGUAGUCAAGUACUGGAGAGAUGAAUCUAUAUCUCAUAUCUCUCUCAUCAGUCACUCAUUUGAAUAAUCAAAGAGGCAAAUAAAAUUUGAGACAAGCAGGGUUAGAAAGCUAAUUAAGUAUCCCACUUGUGUUUUCUUAGGGAGUGCUCUAUCCAUGUCCACAACCACAUAUUUGAUAUUUCAGUUGUAUCUAUCUCCAAGUCUCUGUCUAGAAUUGAAUAUUCAACAUAUCAUAUGUACACACUAAAGCCUCUUUUUUAGUUAGAAAAAUAUGAAUACUCACUCUAAGAUUACUAUGUUGAUUAAGAGGUAUAUUUAUUUACAUAUGAUCAUUCUGAUCUUGACAUUUAUAAGAUUUAAAUAGUUAAAUAUUAAUGAUCAAUACAUAUAUUUUUGAUUAUUUUUUAAAAUAAAUGAUAUAUGCAUAUUAAAUUUUGGAGUGGAAAUGAAUUCAAUCAAAGUUGAUAAAGCUUCUAAAUAUGAUUAUCAGUCAAAGUUGGUGAAGCUUCUAACUUCCUAAUACCGCAAAUGAAUUAUUGUAUCAAAUAUCGAUUUUCAUAUUAUUAUUUUGGAUCAAAUAUCGAUUUUCUUAUAUUUCAAUCAUGUUAUGGAUGGUGAUAAUCGAAUAUACGUUCGACAUAUCAAUAGGACCGAUGACUCUCUGGAGGUUGGAGAAUUAAGUUUGAGUUUACAUAACUACAUAAAACAUGAAAUGAAAACAUUCAUUAAAAGCAACUAAACAUGGCACCAUAGAUUAAGGUUAGGGAAGAUUGUGACGACGCAAAAGACAAAACCAAAAUCCAGACGAUAACGUUUGUGGAGUAGAAUCGAAAAGGGGCUAUAGAGCAGAUUACAUCUGUUUUGUUUCCUUGGCUUUUUGGAAAACGAAUAAAUAUUAAUACAGCUUGAGCUAAAUAAUUUAGCUAAAGUUUCAAAUAUAUGCAGACAAGUUUAUCGUUUAGAUCUUGGAAAAUCAUUACACUAUCAAAAAACGAUUUUGCAUAUAUUACCUGUAAAGAGUAAAGAGAUAUUUUUAACAAAAAAAAGAGUAAAGAGAUAUGAAAUAAAAAGAACAAUUGUCUAAACAACCAACAUAUAUCUAUCUUUUUAUCGUCCACUAUAUAGUAAUUUCACUGACCUUUACUCGCAAUCAUUUCCAAAUCAGGAAAUUUACUCAAGAAAGUAAAAUAUGACAAGAAAAAUAAAUAAACUUUCUAUUAUUUACAAAGUAUUUUGUAUUUUGAUAUUUUAAAUAAAUAAAGAGAAUUAUGAAGCGACAUAACACAUGGAAAGAGAAGCACAAUAAUUCAGAGAAUUUAUAAAAGCAACAAAACCCAACACUUCCUUACAACUUUCCACACCAUCAUAAUAGAGAUACAACAACUUCUCUUGAUUAAUGCAAGAAUUAUAUAAUAAUAGAUAUCAAUUGUUGUAUUUCUAAAACUAAAUGAUUGUCCCUACAAAAGCAUUUUGUAAUUGGAAAAGAUAUGGAUGGAGGCACAAUCUGUACACAUGGGGACUCAUGAAAAAAGGAUAAGCUCUUUCUGGGUCCCAAAGUCCUCAUCUCAUUUCAAGAGAUAGAGAAGGAACUUUCCAUAACCAACAAUUAAUUAUCUCUAAAAUAUAUAAUUCCUGUAGUCCUCCACUAUCUAAGUAUCAUUAAAGCUAUAUAUAAACAACAAUUUCAAUCAUUCAAGGGAAUAAAACAGCAUAAGAGAAACCAGAGCAAAAGAAAAAAGAUCUAGUAAUGAUGUCUUCUGAUUACUCACCUUCUUCAUCUCACCAAGAACAUUUCAUCAACAGCUUCCUCUCAAGAAAAUUGCUUCAGCAACUUCCUUUUCAUCACAACAUACAGCAACAACAACAAGCUCAAGGACAAGACAAGAGCAACUUG